GUAGGGGGCGAGCGUUGUCCGGAAUGACUGGGCGUAAAGGGAGUGUAGGCGGCAUAUUAAGUUAUGUGUGAAAGCCCGCGGCUCAACCGCGGAAUUGCACAUAAAACUGGUAAGCUGGAGUGCAGGAGAGGUAAGUGGAAUUCCCGGUGUAGCGGUGGAAUGCGUAGAUAUCGGGAGGAACACCAGAGGCGAAGGCGACUUACUGGACUGUAACUGACGCUGAGGCUCGAAAGCGUGGGGAGCAAA
RNAcentral lists this ribosomal RNA (246 nucleotides) under uncultured bacterium. RNAcentral describes it as "partial 16S ribosomal RNA". It matches the Rfam family "Bacterial small subunit ribosomal RNA", at positions 527 to 772 of the family's 1533-position model. The record is from RNAcentral.